Molecule: long non-coding RNA, 289 nt
Filed under: Elaeis guineensis (African oil palm)
Lineage: Eukaryota; Viridiplantae; Streptophyta; Magnoliopsida; Arecales; Arecaceae
Description: long non-coding RNA (EGUI_LNC011425)
Source: RNAcentral
AUGUAAAUAAUUUUGAUACUGGUUGAUCUGAAACCUUCCGAUCAUCGUGCUCUAUUAUAAUGCCUCUAAGAAGUCCUGAAUCGUCUCUGUUGGCCAGAGUGCCGCAGGAAGACAAUGGACAACUGCCAAACGUGCGCAACUCUCGAAUAGAGAAAUAAUGUAUGCUACAUUGUCUCAUCCUCCAGACCGCACCCAAGACUGGAAGUCGAGAUGUCCAUCCCUCUGGCCCUUAACAAUAUCUUGGUGGGAAGACAGCUCCAAGCAACUUUCCAGAAGAAUAGAUGCACUC